This 403-nucleotide ribosomal RNA is filed under the name uncultured bacterium. Its description in RNAcentral is "partial 16S ribosomal RNA". It matches the Rfam family "Bacterial small subunit ribosomal RNA", at positions 30 to 526 of the family's 1533-position model. The record is from RNAcentral.
AUUGAACGCUGGCGGCAGGCCUAACACAUGCAAGUCGAGCGAGAGGCGGACGGGUGAGUAAUGUAUGGGGACUGCCCGAUAGAGGGGGAUAACUACUGGAAAAGGUAGCUAAUACCGCAUACUAUCGGAUAACCCAUAUGGGAUUAGCUAGUAGGUGAGGUGAUGGCUCACCUAGGCGACUAUCCCUAGCUGGCCUGAGAGGAUGAUCAGCCACACUGGGACUGAGACACUGCCCAGACUCCUACGGAGGCAGCGUUGGGGAAUGUUGCGCAAAUGGCGCAAGGCUGAUACAGCCAUGCCGCGUGUAUGAAGAAGGCCCUAGGGUUGUAAAGUACUUUCAGUCGGGAGGCGUUAGCGACAGAAGAAGCACCGGCUAACUCCGUGCCAGCAGCCGCGGUAAUUC